This 216-nucleotide small RNA is filed under the name Staphylococcus aureus. RNAcentral's name for it is "5'UTR". The record is from RNAcentral. Lineage: Bacteria; Bacillati; Bacillota; Bacilli; Caryophanales; Staphylococcaceae.
ACCUCCUGAAAAGGUGAAUGUUAAAGGUGGCGCUAUUGCAUUAGGACACCCUAUUGGUGCAUCUGGUGCUAGAGUAUUAGUGACAUUAUUGCAUCAACUGAAUGAUGAAGUUGAAACUGGUUUAACAUCAUUGUGUAUUGGUGGCGGUCAAGCUAUCGCUGCAGUUGUAUCAAAAUAUAAAUAAUAAGAAAACAGGUUAUCACAACAGUAUUAAUU